AUUGAACGCUGGCGGCAGGCCUAACACAUGCAAGUCGAACGGUAACAGGAAGACGCUUGCUUCUUUGCUGACGAGUGGCGGACGGGUGAAUAAUGUCUGGGAAACUGCCUGAUGGAGGGGGAUAACUACUGGAAACGGUAGCUAAUACCGCAUAACGUCGCAAGACCAAAGAGGGGGACCUUCGGGCCUCUUGCCAUCGGAUGUGCCCAGAUGGGAUUAGCUAGUAGGUGGGGUAACGGCUCACCUAGGCGACGAUCCCUAGCUGGUCUGAGAGGAUGACCAGCCACACUGGAACUGAGACACGGUCCAGACUCCUACGGGAGGCAGCAGUGGGGAAUAUUGCACAAUGGGCGCAAGCCUGAUGCAGCCAUGCCGCGUGUAUGAAGAAGGCCUUCGGGUUGUAAAGUACUUUCAGCGGGGAGGAAGGGAGUAAAGUUAAUACCUUUGCUCAUUGACGUUACCCGCAGAAGAAGCACCGGCUAACUCCGUG
This 490-nucleotide ribosomal RNA is filed under the name uncultured bacterium. RNAcentral describes it as "partial 16S ribosomal RNA". It matches the Rfam family "Bacterial small subunit ribosomal RNA", at positions 30 to 507 of the family's 1533-position model. The record is from RNAcentral.